RNAcentral lists this ribosomal RNA (119 nucleotides) under Erinaceus europaeus (western European hedgehog). The record is from RNAcentral. Lineage: Eukaryota; Metazoa; Chordata; Mammalia; Eulipotyphla; Erinaceidae.
GUUUACAGCCAUACCACCCUGAACAUGCCCGAUCUCGUCUGACCUCGGAAGCUAAGCAGGGUCGGAUCUGGUGAGUACUUGGAUGGUAGACUGCCUGGGAAUACUGGGUGCUGUAGGCU